Molecule: non-coding RNA, 72 nt
Organism: Angiostrongylus costaricensis
Lineage: Eukaryota; Metazoa; Nematoda; Chromadorea; Rhabditida; Metastrongylidae
Source: Rfam
GAAAGCUUGGCGCAAUGGUAGCGCGUUCGACUCCAGAUAUAAAGGAUGCGCGUUCGAUCCGCUCAGUGGUCA